ACACCGCGACCCCUCUUCUGUUCCAUCCGUAGACGCGCACCCAAUGCGCGCUAUCCUCAUUCUCAACGCAUGCACACCUUCCUUCGAAAACACCGCGUCUCGACGAGGCUUGUAAAAAAAAAAACGAUCUGCAGAAAAAGGCAAUCCGCAGAAGUCAAAUAUACGCGUCACCGGUACUCGACUGCCGUUGUCUCUCCCUCUCUGGUGGUGGUGGUGGUGGAUGCUAAUCCAUGUCUCAUUCCGUUUUGCGUGUAUGCUUCCCUCCUUUCUCCUCCCUUCCCCCGGAAGAGGGCGCCGGAGAGUGCAGAAGCACACAUCUGCGUGCUACUACUGGGCUCACCAGUUCACCACAAAACCCUCCUUCCCCCCUCUGUACAGAGGUGACGAAACGUCCUUGCCGUCUUCCUUCCACUAAUGCACGUCAGAAGCUUCUGGACCUGAUCAUGCCACGCUUGGUCACCGUGCACGAUGCUCGCAGUUUACUGUGUCUUCGAGGCAUCGCGUGUCCUCCGCCAUACUUCUCUCCCUCUCUCCCUCUCUCCCUCUCCCCACUGCACCCGUUCGAACACGCGACGUAUCGGCGACAG
This 587-nucleotide unclassified non-coding RNA is filed under the name Leishmania donovani. RNAcentral's name for it is "gene:unknown". The record is from RNAcentral. Lineage: Eukaryota; Euglenozoa; Kinetoplastea; Trypanosomatida; Trypanosomatidae.